UACGUAGGGCGCGAGCGUUGUCCGGAUUUAUUGGGCGUAAAGAGCUCGUAGGCGGCUUGUCGCGUCGAAUGUGAAAUCUCAGGGCUCAACUCUGACAUUGCAUUCGAUACGGGCAGGCUAGAGUUCGGUAGGGGAGAGUGGAAUUCCUGGUGUAGCGGUGAAAUGCGCAGAUAUCAGGAGGAACACCGGUGGCGAAGGCGGGUCUCUGGGCCGAUACUGACGCUGAGGAGCGAAAGCGUGGGGAGCGAACAGG
Molecule: ribosomal RNA, 253 nt
Filed under: uncultured bacterium
Lineage: Bacteria
Description: partial 16S ribosomal RNA
Rfam family: Bacterial small subunit ribosomal RNA
Source: RNAcentral